RNAcentral lists this ribosomal RNA (440 nucleotides) under uncultured bacterium. RNAcentral describes it as "partial 16S ribosomal RNA". It matches the Rfam family "Bacterial small subunit ribosomal RNA", at positions 338 to 795 of the family's 1533-position model. The record is from RNAcentral.
CCUACGGGAGGCAGCAGUGAGGAAUAUUGCACAAUGGGCGCAACCCUGAUCCAGCGACGUCGCGUGAGUGAAGAAGUCUCUCGGUAUGUAAAGCUCUAUCUGCAGGGAAGAAAAUGACGGUACCUGAUUCAGAAGUCACGGAUAACUACGUGCCCGCAGGCGCGGUAAUACGCAGGGGGCAAGCGUUAUCCGGAUUUACUGGGUGUAAAGGGAGCGUAGACGGCAGCACAAGUCUGGUGUGAAAUGCCGGGGCUUAACCGCGGAACUGCUUUGGAAACUGUGCAUCUAGAGUGCAGGAGAGGUAAGUGGAAUUCGUAGUGUAGCGGUGAAAUGCGUAGAUAUUAGGAAGAACACCAGUGGCGAAGGCAGCUUACUGAACUGUAACUGACGUUGAGGCUCGAAAGCGUGGGUAGCAAACAGGAUUAGAUACCCUAGUAGUC